Molecule: ribosomal RNA, 508 nt
Filed under: uncultured bacterium
Lineage: Bacteria
Description: partial 16S ribosomal RNA
Rfam family: Bacterial small subunit ribosomal RNA
Source: RNAcentral
ACUCAAAUGAAUAGACGGGGGCCCGCACAAGCGGUGGAGUAUGUGGCUUAAUUCGAUGCAACGCGAAGAACCUUACCUGGGCUUGACAUGCAUCGUGUCGCCGGUGAAAGCCGGCUAGUGUAGCAAUACACGCUUUGCACAGGUGCUGCAUGGCUGUCGUCAGCUCGUGUCGUGAGAUGUUGGGUUAAGUCCCGCAACGAGCGCAACCCUUGUGAACUGUUGCUACCCAGCACUUCGGUGUUGGGGCACUCUGUUCAGACUGCCCUGUGAAACGGGGAGGAAGGUGGGGACGACGUCAAGUCAGGAUGGCCCUUACGCCCAGGGCUGCACACGUACUACAAUGCUCAGUACAGAACGAACCGAAAUCGCGAGGUGGAGGAAAUCACUAAAACUGAGCCCAGUUCGGAUUGUAGGCUGCAACUCGCCUACAUGAAGCCGGAAUCGCUAGUAAUGGCGUAUCAGCUACGACGCCGUGAAUACGUUCCCGGGCCUUGUACACACCGCCCGU